This 73-nucleotide transfer RNA is filed under the name Candidatus Elusimicrobium euhamitermitis. RNAcentral describes it as "tRNA-Ala". It matches the Rfam family "tRNA". From Rfam's summary of the family: Transfer RNA (tRNA) molecules are approximately 80 nucleotides in length. Their secondary structure includes four short double-helical elements and three loops (D, anti-codon, and T loops). Further hydrogen bonds mediate the characteristic L-shaped molecular structure. tRNAs have two regions of fundamental functional importance: the anti-codon, which is responsible for specific mRNA codon recognition, and the 3' end, to which the tRNAs corresponding amino acid is attached (by aminoacyl-tRNA synthetases). tRNAs cope with the degeneracy of the genetic code in two manners: having more than one tRNA (with a specific anti-codon) for a particular amino acid; and 'wobble' base-pairing, i.e. permitting non-standard base-pairing at the 3rd anti-codon position. The record is from RNAcentral. Lineage: Bacteria; Pseudomonadati; Elusimicrobiota; Elusimicrobia; Elusimicrobiales; Elusimicrobiaceae.
GGGGCUGUAGCUCAGCUGGGAGAGCGCCUGCUUUGCAAGCAGGAGGUCGCCGGUUCGAUCCCGACCAGCUCCA